GACGAACGCUGGCGGCGUGCUUAACACAUGCAAGUCGAACGGAAAGGCCCUGCUUUUGUGGGGUGCUCGAGUGGCGAACGGGUGAGUAACACGUGAGUAACCUGCCCUUGACUUUGGGAUAACUUCAGGAAACUGGGGCUAAUACCGGAUAGGAUCUCCUGCUGCAUGGUGGGGGUUGGAAAGUUUCGGCGGUUGGGGAUGUACUCGCGGCUUAUCAGCUUGUUGGUGGGGUAGUGGCUUACCAAGGCUUUGACGGGUAGCCGGCCUGAGAGGGUGACCGGCCACCAUGGGCCUGAGAUACGGCGCAGACUCCUACGGGAGGCAGCAGUGGGGAAUAUUGCACAAUGGGCGGAAGCCUGAUGCAGCAACGCCGCGUGCGGGAUGCCGGCCUUCGGGUUGUAAACCGCUUUCGCCUGUGACGAAGCGUGAGUGACGGUAAUGGGUAAAGAAGCACCGGCUAACUACGUG
This 468-nucleotide ribosomal RNA is filed under the name uncultured bacterium. RNAcentral describes it as "partial 16S ribosomal RNA". It matches the Rfam family "Bacterial small subunit ribosomal RNA", at positions 28 to 507 of the family's 1533-position model. The record is from RNAcentral.